Drosophila simulans is the source of this 817-nucleotide long non-coding RNA. RefSeq lists it as uncharacterized. NCBI's taxonomy places the organism in Eukaryota, Metazoa, Arthropoda, Insecta, Diptera, Drosophilidae. The transcript is spliced from 2 exons. The record is from RefSeq and is a predicted model, not a curated record.
GGUGAUGGGUUUGGAGCACCCGGCGCACAGGGAUCCUCGCUUGGCAUGGUAGUGCGUCUCGCAGUACGGCAGUCCCUCGUGAUCAAAGAAGGAUCCUCCCUGGAAGGGCUGUCGGCAGUCCUGUAGGUGAAAAAGUCGAAGUAGAUGUUCGUUCUAGGAAUACUCAGGGUUAAUCGUUUUUAGCCAGAACUAAAUAAUUGAUAGCUAACCAAAUCAUUGCCAUAAACAUUUUUGGGAAACGCAGUACAUAAGCACUAGAAAUGUUUACUGCGCCUCAAGAUCACAACCGCACUGUCCUGAUCUUCAGUUGUAAGUAUGAUUAUGUGCGCUUCGGAAAUAUAGGAGAGGUAUGAGGAUGAUGUAUUGUGGGCCAAAUGGCGGUGCAGCCUCCGUCUGGGGCUAAUUACGACCAUAAAUUAGUUGCCAUACAGCAUGACGGACCAGCAAACCGAUCGAGAGCCGACAACAUAAUAUUCGCUGUGCAAAAUUUUACGCCUGGCCUGAAAAACCUAAUUAGAAUUUAGUCGAAUCGAAAAAAAGUGACGAACGGAGGACUUUGGUACCCUGGGACCUGGGGCCCACUGUUCACGGCGUCGAGCUAAUUGGAAAACAAAGAUUGUACAUUUCAAAAACAAGAUUUGGGGAAUAUUUAAAUAUGAUAAAUAUAUGAAAAAAGUGCGGCCAAGACAUUUGUUUCUUGCUAUUUACUUUUUUUCGGGGGGCUUUUGGAAAAACAUAUCAACAGCAGCAGCAGGAACAGCAACAAUUGUAUUCAGACAAUAACAUUUUGCGCACGCUUUUGGCCAGCUUCCAAAAA